UUUAAAUAAUAGAUUCUUCAAGUACCGUGAACAAGUUGAAGAAUCGAGAGUGCACAGCGACAGGUGGAACAGCAGAAAUAGGCCAGUCCUGUUGCUUGCGUCAGGUGGUGAUGGCACAGGAGCGCAGAUUCAGGUUUGCGGUUACAAACAGGAAGUGGCCAGGAAUGGACAGAGAUUGCAGAGGAGCCUGGAAAAUGCUAUGAGGAGAAAAGGAAAGGAGGAAAGGGAUUGAGAUAAGAAAACCUGUUUGCAAAUGAAAACUUCAAGUGUGGCACACUGGAGGAAUGAGAUGCUCUCUUCCUGCAGAGAAUGGGAAUAAUUCUCCCUUGCCAAAAUAUGCUGCCUCACCAAAACCCAACAACAGCUACAAGUUCAAGCGUGAGCCGCCAGAGGGCUGUGAAAAGGUGAAAGUCUUUGAGGAA
Molecule: long non-coding RNA, 422 nt
Organism: Columba livia (rock pigeon)
Lineage: Eukaryota; Metazoa; Chordata; Aves; Columbiformes; Columbidae
Exons: 3
Source: RefSeq, a predicted model, not a curated record